AGUGUGAGGGCAUAUAGCCCUCGCUUUUCUGUACCGUAAGGUGGUACAGGAACAAGGACUGGGCAAGACCGGUGCCAGCCGCCGCGGUAAUACCGGCAGUCCAAGUGAUGGCCGAUAUUAUUGGGCCUAAAGCGUCCGUAGCUUGCUGUGUAAGUCCAUUGGGAAAUCGACCAGCUCAACUGGUCGGCGUCCGGUGGAAACUACACAGCUUGGGGCCGAGAGACUCAACGGGUACGUCCGGGGUAGGAGUGAAAUCCUGUAAUCCUGGACGGACCACCAAUGGGGAAACCACGUUGAGAGACCGGACCCGACAGUGAGGGACGAAAGCCAGGGUCUCGAACCGGAUUAGAUACCCGGGUAGUCCUGGCUGUAAACAAUGCUCGCUAGGUAUGUCAGCGCCAUGAGCACGUGAUGUGCCGUAGUGAAGACGAUAAGCGAGCCGC
RNAcentral lists this ribosomal RNA (443 nucleotides) under Haloarcula sp. RNAcentral describes it as "bacterial SSU rRNA". It matches the Rfam family "Archaeal small subunit ribosomal RNA", at positions 384 to 827 of the family's 1478-position model. The record is from RNAcentral. Lineage: Archaea; Methanobacteriati; Methanobacteriota; Halobacteria; Halobacteriales; Haloarculaceae.